This 106-nucleotide small nuclear RNA is filed under the name Marmota marmota marmota (Alpine marmot). The record is from RNAcentral. Lineage: Eukaryota; Metazoa; Chordata; Mammalia; Rodentia; Sciuridae.
GUGCUGGCUUUGGCAACGCAUAUACUAAAAUUGGAACAUACAGAGAAGAAAAGCAUGGCCCCGACGCAAGAAUGACACAUAAAUUCGUGAAGCGUUCCAUAUUUUU